This 309-nucleotide long non-coding RNA is filed under the name Elaeis guineensis (African oil palm). RNAcentral's name for it is "long non-coding RNA (EGUI_LNC026165)". Lineage: Eukaryota; Viridiplantae; Streptophyta; Magnoliopsida; Arecales; Arecaceae. The record is from RNAcentral.
ACGUUUGGCAAUAGGAUAGAAAAUAGAUCAUUUUUGAAAAUCUAUCUACAACCAUUAGAAUAGAAUCAUGCUCCAUAGCUAUCCUAGGUAACCCCAAAAUAAAAUCCAUACUAACAUCUUGCAAGGAUAGUUUGGUAUAGGUAAGGGUGUAUAUAGGUCGGUGUUUUAUUUUCUCUGCUUAGCCACUGCACACGUUCUGUAUUAGACAAUAAUUGAGACAAUAUCUCUUUUCAAGCUUAGUCAAAAGAACUAAGUUUAUACCAACUCUAUGAUUUUAUUCCUAUCAAAGUGUCCAGCUAAUCCUCCAGC